Molecule: long non-coding RNA, 1847 nt
Filed under: Marmota monax (woodchuck)
Lineage: Eukaryota; Metazoa; Chordata; Mammalia; Rodentia; Sciuridae
Source: RNAcentral
CUGAACCACUGAACUACAUCCCCAGUCCUAUUUUGUAGUUUACUUAGAGACAGGGUCUCACUAAGUUGCUCAGUGCCUUGCAAUUGCUGAGGCUGGCUUUGAACUCACAAUUUUUCUGUCUCGGCCUCCCAAGCUGCUGGGAUUACAGGUGUGUGCCACCACACCUGGCUAUUAUAAUUCUUUAUAUGGAGUUUUUCCUCCAUAAAUUGACAUAUUCAGGAAGACUUUCUUGGUAUUUUUAUCCCAAAGGCUAAGCACUGUACCUAGACAUUAUUAGUAGAUGGUAGAUUACUAAAAUAAUUAUGAAUAUUAUAAUUAAGAAUUAUUAAAACUCAUUUUAAAUGAUUUUUGUGACUAAAGGAAUUAUUACACGUUUGUAUUGGACACACAUACAUGGACUUUUGGAUUAUGUUUUCUAAACAGGAUUGUAACAAUUCAUUUUUUAAUAUUGAUGCAGUUUAGCACAUAUGGAAUACCUUUAUCAUUGGAAAUUUGUAUCAGUUGAUCUCAUAUAAUCUCAAGUGAACACAAUAUAAAUACUAAGCGAUAAUCCCUUAAUAUUAAAAUUUUUAAAAAUGUUAAUGGAAAAACUAUAGUUUUAUGGGUUUAAUCCUUUAGGCUUUUAAUUCCACCUUGAAAAUAUUUAUUUUGAACAUUGUGAAACUCCACCCAGAGGGAGUUACUGGGAGACCUCAGAGUGGAAGCUUGGGAAGCAAUGUGGGCAGUCUGAAGGAUCGCUGUGGGAACUGUGUUAGUUAACUUUGUGUCCCUGUGACCUAAAGACCCAGCAAGAACAACUUAAAGAAGGGAAAGUUUUAUUUGGUUUACAGUUUCAGAGGUCUUAUAGAUGGCUGACUCCAUUGCUUUGGGCCUAAGGUGAGGCAGAACAUCAUGGCAGAAGGUUGUGGUAGGAAGCAGAGAGAGUUCUGCUCACCAGGAACAAAAUAUAAACCCCAAGUCACACUCCCAGUGUCCCACCUCCUCCAGCUGUAUCCUACCUGCCUACAGUUAUCACCCAGUUAAUCUGUAUCAGUGGGUAAUAAACUGAUCACUUCACAUCUGAAAAUUGUCAUUUUUCAUUUCACCUCUGAAAAUUCUUACAUUGUCUCACACUUGAGCUUUGGGGUGGGGGAAUUGGCUUAAAAUCUAAAACCCAAUAGGAACUUAAUCUGCUCAGUUUUUCCUCAGUCAAAGCUCUAGGCCUAAUCUGGGUGUAGUGGCACAUGCCAGUAUUUCCAGCAAUUCCAGAUUGAGCUAGGAAAUCACCAGUCCAAGGGCAGCCUCAGCAAUUUCAAGAGGCCUUUUAUCAACUUAGUGAAACCCUGUCUCAAAAAAUAAAAAAGACUGGAGAGGUACUCUGGGGUAAAGCACCUCUGGGUUCAAUCUUCAGUACCCCCCCCCCCGGCAAAAAAAAUAAAAUCAAAACCAAAACAACAACAACAACAAAAAUUCCUCCAGAUCUACAAAUGAAGAUAGAGCUCAAGAUUCAAGUUCCCUAAACUUUAAGAAAUAGUCCUCUUUAUAACUGGAGAAAUCUGUUUUUGACUAUGUAAAAAGGAAAUAUUGCAAUUAUGGAGACAUUUGAAAAAUAUAUAAUUGUAUUUAUGACACAUAAUUUGUACUAUAGAAGAAGCAAAACCUUUCAUAUAAGAAGAACUAAAAUAUACAAUAUACCGCUUUGAUUUUGAUGUUACAGAUCAUUCACUUAAACAUUUAGGUCAUUAGCUUUCAGAAAUUAUCUUCCAUUAUUAGACAGUAGGGGACAGGUAAAGAAAAAAUUAGGCUUGGAAAUUAUUUGACUUGGAAAUCAUUAUAAUACUGAAAUAAUCCAAUUGUAUCACCUUGAC